RNAcentral lists this ribosomal RNA (421 nucleotides) under Spinoaglaja orientalis. Its description in RNAcentral is "partial 16S ribosomal RNA". It matches the Rfam family "Archaeal large subunit ribosomal RNA", at positions 1905 to 2674 of the family's 2987-position model. Lineage: Eukaryota; Metazoa; Mollusca; Gastropoda; Cephalaspidea; Aglajidae. The record is from RNAcentral.
ACAUAACUCUAAGUAAUUAUUUAGGGCGAAACCUGCUCAAUGAAUCAUUUAAAUAGCCGCGGUACCUUGACCGUGCUAAGGUAGCAUAAUCAGUUGACUUUUAAAUGAAGUCUGGAAUGAAUGGAUAAACGGGGUUAAGCUGUCUCAGUUCUUUUAUUUCGAAUUUACUAAUUAGGUGAAAAGGCCUAAAUAUGAAAAAAGACGAUAAGACCCUUAGAGCUUAUUAAAUAUUUUGUUGGGGCGACAAAGAAUCAUUUAACAUUCUUAGCUAAAUGUGUCGGAUUUUUCAUGUAUAGACAAGCUACCUGAGGGAUAACAGCAUUAUCUUUUUAGGUUUGUGACCUCGAUGUUGGACUAGGAAGCUUAUAGGCUAGCCGCCUAUUCUGGGGAUUCUGUUCGAAUUACUAACUCCUACGUGAUC